Molecule: ribosomal RNA, 472 nt
Filed under: uncultured bacterium
Lineage: Bacteria
Description: bacterial SSU rRNA
Rfam family: Bacterial small subunit ribosomal RNA
Source: RNAcentral
GGCAGUCUAAUACAUGCAAGUCGAACGGUUGGUAGCAAUACCAAUAGUGGCGCACGGGUGCGUAACGCGUAACCAACCUACCCGAAUCUGGGGGAUAGCCCGCCGAAAGGCGGAUUAAUACCGCAUAAAACUGCAGCCUGGCAUCAGGUAACAGUUAAAGAUUUAUUGGAUUCGGAUGGGGUUGCGUGCCAUUAGCUAGUUGGCGGGGUAACGGCCCACCAAGGCGACGAUGGCUAGGGGAGCUGAGAGGCUGGUCCCCCACACGGGCACUGAGAUACGGGCCCGACUCCUACGGGAGGCAGCAGUAGGGAAUAUUGGGCAAUGGUCGAGAGACUGUCCCAGCCAUGCCGCGUGCAGGAUGAAGGCUUUCUGAGUCGUAAACUGCUUUUAUCGGGGAAGAAAAAAGGGGAUGCGUCCUCUUUUGACGGUACCCGAUGAAUAAGCACCGGCUAACUCCGUGCCAGCAGCCGCG